This is a long non-coding RNA of Cygnus atratus (black swan), 548 nucleotides long. RefSeq lists it as uncharacterized. The record is from RefSeq and is a predicted model, not a curated record. NCBI's taxonomy places the organism in Eukaryota, Metazoa, Chordata, Aves, Anseriformes, Anatidae. The transcript is spliced from 3 exons.
CCCUUUCAGUCAGGCGAUCAGUGGAGAAAGGAGAGGAACGGACCAAACAGCCCCAGGGAGGAAGCUCUUGGAAGGUUCUGAUACCGAAGCCCAGCAUCGAGGACUGCAGAGGAUAUCACGCGUCCGUGCGCUAGCGCAUGUUUUCCAGAGACCUUGGCCCCAGAAGUCAGCCUGGCUCCUUGUGCUGGUGUUCAAUAGAUGCUUUCCGCUUCCUUUCUUCUGCCUGGGACAAUGGAUGUGCUGGGAUGGAACUGCAGCAAGCCUGGAGCUCACAGCAGCAGCCAGGACCUGGACUGGCCUGGAGCCUCCAGGAAAGAGAUUCUCCACGUCUCCCCACAGCAGCUGCUGGCUGAAAGCUUCGUCCCAUUCCCCGGUACAUGUCCCUGUCCCACGAGCCUGAGGACCCCCCCUAUGUGCCCCAUUGUCAGGAAGUGCUGCUCUGUUUGGGGCUACCUUGGAGCUGCUGGCACAACAAAGCUGUUUUGCUUUUGGCUGGGCACUCGGCAUCCGAGCUCUCAUGUGGUUGGAGCCCAUUUUUUUUUGCAAGA